CAGUAGCCGCGGGAAUACGUAGGUGGCAAGCGUUAUCCGGAAUUAUUGGGCGUAAAGCGCGCGUAGGCGGUUAUACAAGUCAGAUGUGAAAUCCCCGGGCUCAACCUGGGAACUGCAUUUGAGACUGUAUGGCUAGAGUGUGUCAGAGGGGGGUAGAAUUCCACGUGUAGCAGGGAAAUGCGUAGAUAUGUGGAGGAAUACCGAUGGCGAAGGCAGCCCCCUGGGAUAACACUGACGCUCAUGCACGAAAGCGUGGGGAGCAAACAGGAUUAGAUACCCCCGUAGUCCCUGUCUCUUAUAC
This 301-nucleotide ribosomal RNA is filed under the name uncultured bacterium. RNAcentral describes it as "partial 16S ribosomal RNA". It matches the Rfam family "Bacterial small subunit ribosomal RNA", at positions 509 to 807 of the family's 1533-position model. The record is from RNAcentral.